AAGAGGAGACAAUUAUUACAAGACUCAGAUUUGGGCAUACUGGACUUAAUAGUACACUAUUCAAAAUAGGAAAACAUAACUCAGGAAACUGUGACAAUUGCGGACAAGAGGAAACAAUAGAACACAUCACAGUACACUGUCAAAUAUAUGGGACAGAGAGAACACGACUCAGACAGAACCUGAGAAAGCUUAAGAUGAAACUGAAUAUUUUGGACAUUUUACAGCAAGAUUCACAUAACGAAUGUUAUAGUUAUUUAAUACAGUACCUCAGGGAAAUUAAGAUGUUAGGGAGAAUCUAAUCAUAUUGUACGUUUUUUUGUUGUUGUUUUGUUUGGAUUUGUUUUUAGUGAUUCCGAUCCACACUCCUUACCAGUUGGUGGUAAUGCACCAUUUCCUUGAUUGCCAACCGCCAUAAAACAAUAAGAGAAGAAGAAGAAGAAGAAGAAGAAGAAGGGCAAGAAGAAGAAGAGCAAGAAGAAGAAGAGCAAGAAGAAGAAGAGCAAGAAGAAGAAGAAGAGCAAACCGCUUUCUGGAUCUCGCUCUGCGCGUCCAUGAAUGCUACGCGAUGCUACGCUACAUCCGAUGCUAGCGGACUUCACGGAUGUUUACUCCGACUUCUACGGGACUCGCCUCGGAUGUGUGCAGACGGCAACAGCGACCGACAACGAAGUUCAUGUGAGAACUGUCUGCUGCAGUCAGGGCUGAGCUGAGUUCAUCUUGCAAGCCCUCUCUUCAGUGCAACACCGGCUCCUCCAACAGUCACGUGACCUGUCAGGACUUUAUUUAUUUGUUGCAGCAUAUCAGAUGCAAUGUGUUGAUUUAAACCAAUGAUAGUCAUAUUUUGUCUUUGAUUUUUUGAGAAGUCUUUUAGGAGCCUCACCCCUUUGAUCCACCUCAGCUUUUUGAUUUCACUUAUAUUUAUAAAUAUCUUUAUUUUCAAUAAUGUCACUUUCAACGACCAAACUGUAUUUGAUAGUAUAACAUUUAAAAAAAGGUGAAGAGCCACAAGUAGUUUGUCCAAUAGACGAGCUGAUGAGCAUGUCACAUGUAUGUUUACUGUAUGUGGACUGAAGUACAGCAAAUAUGAUCUGUUCAUGAUGGAUUAAAAAUAAAUUAAAUAUUUUAUGACGUGACAUUCAUUUGGGUUUUGUAAGUUAAACUCAACUUGUUAAUAGUGAUAAAUAAUUGAUAUUUUGGAUGUUUAUAGUUCAUUGAUGUCACAACAUCAGACUUCCAUAUGUAGAUUAAUUGAAGGCUGCAUGUGACUCUUAUGAAACAGUUCCUGGCGGUGGGUUACAUGGUGUCAUUUUUUUAUUUUAAUGUCGUUUGUCGAGGUGGUGAAAUGAACUGAACUGAACUGAGCUGAGCUGAUCUGAACACCAUCGAACUGUCAAACUGUAUGCGGGUGAAUGAGCUCAUACGCCGCCGGCCUCACUGGCUCAGCCUGUUGUUGUUAGCUUAGCCUGUUAGCUCAGAGCAACACGUCAACACCGCAACCUGCUCCUCGUUAAUAAUCUGCUUCCGUAUUUAAAACAUCUCGACGCAGCGACGAGCGGAUCACAACCAUCCGACCCACGUAUAUAUUAAUUCCAUUCCGCCUGACAUCAGUCUUCAGUACCAGACUGACUCCACAUACAUGUUCACCGUAACCGAGCAAGAAACCUCGUUCCGGGGACGCGACGUAACCGCGCAUACCCAGCUUGAACCGCGGCCGCAUUGAAUUUAAGCUGCAGUACCACGGAAAUGGCCGCCAUGUCUUUUUUGCUUCAAUGCGGAACGAAGUCCCCGAGGCUUACUUUAACCGAGCAAGAAUCCUCGUUCCGGGGUCGCGACGUGACCUCGCGUACCCAGCUUGCACCUCGGCGACAUUGGAUUUUUCGAUGCAGUACCACGGACUGGCCAGCAUUUCAUUUUUGCUUCAAGGCUGAGCGACACACUUUCCCAGGGUUUACAGAAACUCGAAACGAUAUCAUUCAAAUCGAUGUAUGUAGAAACCAUGUUCGAACAUAAAACCCAAGUUACACAUACAAACAGUUCGUCAUAUGUAAGUAAAAUAAUUUUAAAAUCUGUGUUAACUUUUUCCUGGCCAUCUAAUGAUUUUUCAUUGAAAACAAAGGUAGAGGAAAGUAGAAUAGGAGCUGGUUGGUCGGCUCCAUAAGAACUACUUAAUUUUAUAGCGCCUCUAAGUUGGAAAGCGGUACUGCAUGGGUCUGCAACGUAAUGUGUAAUACAUGAGUGGAAGUUGAUGGUACUGCACAUGAAUUACCACAGGGGGCCCUGUAUUCAAAGUCACAACACUCGAAUCGUUGGCGGUUAGCAGGCGGCUCGGGCGGGACCCUUGAAAGUAAAAACACUUCACCGUGUGCGGUUGUCAGUUCUUAGGUGUAACUGUAAUACUGUAUUAGGCUUUAUAUCCUCUUUAGAGUUAGUUAGCUGUGUGUUUUAACGAAAGAGAUAGCUAUAGUGUUGCUCGGCCGGCAAAAAAUAUGUUUUCGUUUUUCCUUGCUGCUAACUAACGGUUAGUAUCACAUACCGCGAUGUCUGUGCAUUAACUUAAAUUAUUUCAUUACUUUGAAGUUAGUAAGUUUGGUUGAGGCUCGAGUAGCGACCGAGCCCCACGGUUUUUUACAGUAGUAUAGUGGUAGUAGGCUAUACUUUUUCGAAUACAGAAAGAAAGAAAGAAAACAAUACAAAAUGCCUCAGAAGAAGCCGACAGCUGCAAACGUCUCCAGCUCCAUGGACCUCGAGUCGGAAGACAUCAGCCUGGAGACCACCGUGCCCACCACCGAUGAUGUGUCCUCGUCCGACGAGCAGCGGGACGGCUCUCAGAAGGUGACCCGCCAGCUGAUCGAGAGGAAGGAGCUGCUGCACAACCUCCAGCUGUUGAGAAUCGAGCUUUCUCAGAAGAAUCUCAUCAUAGACAACAUGAAGGCCGACCACAUGUCAAAGAUUGAGGAGCUGGAGGAGAGGCUGAAUGAUGCUCUUCAUCAGAAACAAGUGUUGGCCCUGAGACUCGACAGCCAGCUGAAACUAGCUCAGGAGGAGAACAGGAAGCAGCAGGCUCUGCGUAAGCAGGAGAUGGAGGCCAUCCUGCUCAGGCAGCAGCAGCUCGAGGAGACCAACCGACAGCUGUGUGAAAAGGCUGGAGAGCUGCGCAGGUCUCUCAGGGAUCUGGACAUCUCCCAGGACAGGUACCAGGAGCUCCAUAACCUACCUGAGGAGAAAAUCUCCAUUCAAGAAUAUGUAGCUAUGCGUUUCUAUCAGGUGGUGACUCCUCUGCGGUCUCAGUUGGCUGAGCUCAGUGUUAAGAAAGGCACUUUGACAGAAGAGGUGGAUACACAGAGAACGCAGUUGAAGGCUUUGAUGCAGAGCUAUGAGGAGGAGCGGCGGUUGCUUGCUGAGCUGGAGGGGAAGAGCCAGAGACUGAUCCUAGAACUGGCUGACACCAAACAGCAGAUCCACGAAGGGGACUAUCGUCGAGACAACUACCCAAACAUCAAACGGGAACGCGACAACUUUGAAACAGAACUGAAGGAGUUGAAGAGGAGUUUUGAGAUGCUAGACUUGAGCCACACUGCACUGACCAGAGAAAGAGACACACUAAGCAAAGAGGUGGCAACAUUGCAGCAGGCGGCGACUCUCCUAGAGAAAGACAAGGAUUAUCACCACCGGCAGAAUGUGGAGCUAAGGUUACGCUGUGCACAAGAAGAAGACCGUCUGGAGAGGCUGCAGGUGCAUUUAGAAGACACUAAGAAGGCCAGGGAGGACGUCUACGAAAAAUACGUAGCAUCCAGAGACCACUAUAAGACAGAGUACGAGAAUAAGUUAAGAGAGGAGUUAGAGAACAUCAGGCUGAAAACCGGUCAGGAGAUAGACAACCUGCAGAGAACCUCCAGAGAGAUGUAUGAGAGGGAGAACAGAAAUUUGCGUGAGUCCAGAGACAGUUCGGUGCUGGAGAAAGACAGAGCACAGGCAGCGGAGAGAGACACUCAGUCUAGAUAUGACCAGCUGCUGGAACAGUUUCGCCAGCUCCAGCUGGGUACUGACACCCGGGUGGCAGAACUGUCGAACCAGGCCAAGCUGCACUCCUUUGAAGCCGAGCAUGCUCAGAUGUUCAAGGAGGAGACUGCCAAGGCGCUAGCACAGUGCCAGGUGGUGUGUGAAAAGCAGCAGAAGAAACUGGAGUUCCUCACUCAGGAGUUUUUCAGGCUGCAGGCUUCGUCAGAGAUGCGGGUGGCGGAGCUGCAAGCUCAGAAUGCUGAGCAGUCCUCUCGCCUGGAGACGUAUGAAAAACUGGAGCAAGAGUUGGACCAAGUCACCUUGCAGGCUGCUGAAAUUGAGAACGAAGAGGUGGCAGAGAGAGUUUUGUUCUCGUACGGCUACGGAGCCAAUGUUCCAACGACGGCCAAAAGAAGACUAAAGCAAAGUGUACACCUAGCCCGCAGGGUUCUGCAACUCGAGAGGCAAAACACUUCGCUGAGGAGAGAGUUUGAGAGACACGAGACACAGACGGGACAGAUAUCUGAAGAGUUGUUGGCAGCCAACCAAAUGUUACAGCAGACGCAGCAGCCAUAUAGCUACCUGAUUGAGGCAAUGAGACAGAGGGAUGCACAGAUCACCACGCUGAAGGAACGUAUCACCUCCCUUGAGGACGAUGUCAGGUACAUGCACAGAAACACACACUCACAGAGAGGAAAAGUCUUUUUUUAAAUUGAAGACCUGUGAGGCUUUUGUCUUGCUUGCGAAAACUGCCUUUUAAACUUGAUAAUGUAUCUUGUAAUUUACUCAUGGCAGUAGGCCAUACCUCCCCACCCUUGGCAUUUUCAGCUUCAUUUCCUUGUCUCGUCUUCUAUCCUAAUCACACCUAGUUUAUUUUGUCAUUGUGCAAACCUACAUGUCUCAUUUUUUUUCAAAUGUUCAAUAAGUGGGAGCUUCACAUCAGCAAACCUACAGCUGCCUGGGACUGACCUAAAUCCCUCUAGUUCUCAUCUGUAUUUUAACCUGAGACAUAUGCAAAUUGACAGACUGCAGGUUUUCUCUUGCUGAUCAAUACCAAAAAAAACGGGAGAGCAAAAAAAAUACCUUUAGGUUACUUUCGUUACUCACAAAUCACGUUAAGUUUCAUCCACAUCUUUUAUACAGGAAGGGGACAUUAAAUUAACUCUACCUGGCAUUAUAUGUAAAAUACAAAAAAAAGCUUAUCUCAACGUCUGACCACCAGCCCCCCUCACUUAGAAAUGUGUGGAUGAGCAGCUCUACCGAGGAGCCCAUGCUCAGGACAGCGUAACCCAGGCUUGGAUACGUGACGUCCAGCCUGUAAAACCUUGCAAAUGUGAGUGGCGAAGACCAGCUAGCUGCAGUGCAGAUGUCCUGGAUAGAGACCCCCUUAAACAGGGCCCAUGAGGUCGCAAGACCCCUGGUAGAAUGAGCCCAUAACCCAGCCGGAACCUGAACGCCUGAACUGGAGUAGGCCAAUUGAUGAUGAAUCAUCGUUGUCUCCCUCCGACAUGAGAACAUUUCCGCUGUCUGAUUCUACCGCCUCAUCUUAAUCCAACAAGAGAGGUGGCUCAGCAAGCGGGUGUAGAAAGUCAAGCGCCAAACCCCAGCAUCAAAUCUUCGGUUCCGGAGUAUCCUCCUGCUCCAUGCCGAGUUAGGUUUCCUUAGGGGUGACACUGAUGAGGAUACGGUCCCCCUCAGAGAGGCUUGCCUGGCGGAGCAGACCUGGUGUGUGUCUUUGCCCGAGAUUUUGUUUCCACAGGUGUAUUUAUGGCACAGGGUCCUGACCCAAACGUCAUGACUGCCAGACAAUCAGGGAUGGGGUAAUGUACAAGUGCUUCUGUGAAUACGCAAGGGGUCGUAUCCCAUAGUGAGACAUCUUAACUAAUGCUAUGAAAGAGAACCAAAACCUUUAAUAAUACUCUCAGGCUUCUCAAGCCUCCUCAUUUGACAGAGAUGUUGACGUUUUCCUGUGGCUGCCUGUUUAAAGGUUCAGUAGCAGGGGCAAUUCUAGGAUCAGAGCUUCAGAUGUCCGUGUGUCGUCGUCCCGUACCUGCAGGAAUUUUGAUGAAAAGUAGCAAUUUGUAUGAAGUUAUGAACAGAUUAUUUCCUGGUGAUAUUUUAAUAUUUCAGGUGAAUUUUUUUUUCUCAUAUUUUUAAGACCAUAAUUCACAUUCACAACAACAGCGGCUUUGAACUGAACUUUGAACAGCUGCAGCAGCGUGGCGUCAGUCACCGCAGCUCAAUUACUGCAGGUCGCGUUGUACCGUUUCAAAAAGAAAAGUGCAACCAGCCAAACAUACAUGUUGAGAACGGCCACUACUCUAGUAACGUUAAUAAGAACACAGCAGAGCUUUCCGCCUCACUCAGUCUGGUAAAAGUAAAGAAAUGUGUAACACAUUGUUGUUUGAGCUACUAACUGGAACCACCGCACCACACACAGUCAACCACAGCCGCACUGUGUGUACGUGUGUGCUUCGUGCUGGCUACUGCAGGGCUUCGGGAGAGCCGGGCAGUGGCAGGGAGAGUGAAAAUCAGUUAACACGCCACUGUUCAGUAGGUAGGAUUUGUAAAAAUAACUUUUUUUCAGAUUUACUGAAACUGUCACUAUAUCCUGUUAGUUAUAUGUGAGACAGAUCAUAUGUGACACAAUCUAGUUCAUUUAGCAACCCCAGCUGCCUUUAAUGCCAUUUGCAAGAAUCCAACGCGUCCAAAGAAAAAUCACCAAUCACAGCCAGUGGUAGUCUCUCUACUCUGUCAAUCAUCUGGGUACGCGCUGUGCAGUGCUGACAGUACCUGUGCACACUCGCUCGGUCAAGACCAAGCUCACGUCUUAGCAACGAGGAGCUAGCAGCAGAAGCAGAAACCUGCAUAUACGACAAAGACCACGUGCAGAAACUAGCUAAAAAGAAGGAAGCAGAUCGAGCAGAGAUUGAACCUGUGUAAACAUCAGAGCGGUGGUCCACAGAUGAGAGAGCUGCAAGACCUAAAGGAUUCACAAACGAUGUUUUCUGCUUGUCCGGUAAUUAUCCGUUUCAUUCAUGUUUGAUUUUAUUUUCCAUUUUAUUGUAGCAUUCAGUAACCAUACCGCAUGCUAUUGUGGUGUUGUAAUCAGCCUACUAGUUGCUAGGUUCACAGUGCUGUGUAUAGCGUUUUUAUUGCAUAUUGACUGAAAAUAUUUUUAUGGGGCCAAGCAGUCUUAUCGGUUUUGAGAGUUUUCCAGACAUUUUUGUGCCGUUGCUUGUCCUCUCGCGGCUAAAUGCCCCCCCAUCAGUGUCGUACUGUUUAGUUAGCAGAAAUGUACCAUCCCAUGCUAUGCUAAAUGUUAAGUAUGUGUCGAUAUUCCCAGCUGUGGCUACAGUCAAAAUCAUAUAAUUAAUUUUCUCAUACAAUCAUCACAUACGUAUUUUUUAAUCACUGUAGUGCAAACUGUCAAAUUAUUCAUAUUUAUGUGUGAGCGUAAUGAAUGUGUGAGAGAGAGUGACUGUGCAAAUGUGAUGUGAAGCAGAGUUAACUGUAGCAGUACAUUGACAGUAGUAGAUGUACCGUGCCGGUUAUAGUCUGUCAAUAACGCAGCAGCGUCUCAAGACAAAGGUUAAGUUCCUGUGUGUUGUUUACACAUUGUUACUUUCACUGUCGACAAAGUGAAAGGCGUUUGUCCCAAAGCAAGACUCUACUUUGGCCAUGGAGAAAAGUACAAUGCACAUCUCCCUGCUUUGAACAGCAUGUAGUUACACAUUGUGUUGGACUCUGAUUAUGUACGCACAUGCCCUUUUUACAAUUUGUGGCAAGUUGGUUACAAUGCAGCAUAUAAAGGGGAUGAUUUAUUCCCCUCACAGUAUUUUGAUUUGUGAUCAAUUUUUAAGGGAUGAAUAUUUUUAGACGACUAUUUUUUUUUAUUAAAAAAAAUAUUAUUUUAUUAUUUUUAAUAAAAAGUAUUAUAACAGUUUUCUCUGAAUUUGCAGGUCAAAUGCAGAGCUGGAGUCCUUCUAUAAUCACAUCCUGAUGUGCUUCAGCAUCAGUCCUUCAGUCUAUGAAGCCAGAAUCUUACUUGCUGACUCAGACUACAACCACCAUGUCCACAGACCACCCAAAAGAAGACCUGACAGCUCUAUACAUAUUAAAAGGAUAAGAAAGUUUUUCAAGAUUAGUGGGUUGUGGUUGAUUCCAUGUCGGUGAAAUGUUCUGUUAAAUAAGUGAAUAUUUAUGCAUGCUUUUUCCCCCUUAGAUUUUUAUUUUCUAUUUAUUAGAUGGGUAGGUGUUAGAAGAUGAAAAAUAGUAUUUUAUUGCCUUGGUUUAGCACCCAGAUGAAUCAGGAAAGAAAUCCUGCAACAUUAAAUUUGUAGAUCCAAAUACAUAAUUCUACCGGAGUAUUAUAAAUAUUCAACACACCUACUUUGUAUUUUAUUUAUGUGCAAAAUAAAGCUUGACAAUAUCACAUCAUUGUUUACUUUGAUAAAUUUGUUAUGCUUUUCUUUGAGAUAUUACAUGGGUUGUACUGAAUCAGUGAAUCCGAUAACCCCAAAUUAAUAUAUUUCUAAUGCCUUGAAUUGGUUCAAAAGUAUAUUGAUAAGAAAAUGAAGUAAUCUUCACAUUGUUGUAUAUAUAUGCAAUUAAAAACCAAUCACUUUAAAAAAAUACACUUUAUUGCAAGGCAAAUAUUCGAGAUGGAAAUAAAUAUUAAAAUAUAUGUUUGAAAUAAAUCAAUGAAAUGAAAAAAAAAUGUAUUGAACAGCACACUAUUUACACCUAGCAAUGGCAACUGAAGCUACACCAUCAUUGAAUGAAACAGUGCAAGCAGAAGGUACAAACUGUCAAAAAUCAAAGAUCAUCAAAGAUCAGCAAUGUCUUCAGCUCCCAGGACCUCGGGUGUCUGGCCAACACGCUGACAUCUGCCCCAUCCUCCACGGCCCCUGCCCCCUCUUCUGUUUGCUCGUCUACUCUUCGGAGCAGGAGUCCAG
Molecule: RNA transcript, 8957 nt
Organism: Scophthalmus maximus (turbot)
Lineage: Eukaryota; Metazoa; Chordata; Actinopteri; Pleuronectiformes; Scophthalmidae
Gene: pibf1
Gene name: progesterone immunomodulatory binding factor 1
Exons: 17
Source: RefSeq, a predicted model, not a curated record